CGCGCCUUGUCGAGCAUCCCAGCGGCCAAAUGGGCCCACUCACACACGGAUAACGACCCCUCCACCACACGCGUACACGCAUUCUGCCUUCACAAAUUUCCCCAAAUUCACCAUCGUCGAUCUUGAGAACCACCGGAGUAUUGGGAGAUUGGGCUGCGCGUGGGUGCCAUGACCGCCGGAGUAUUGGGAGGCUGGGCUGCGCGUGGGCGCCGUGGCUGCCGGAGUAAUGGGAGGCGGGGCUGCGCGCGGCCGCCGUGGCCGUCGGAGCAGUGGGAGGUGGGGCUGCGCGCGGCCGCCGUGGCUGCCAGAGUAGUGGGAGGCGGGGCUGCGCGCGGCUGCCCUGACCGCCGGACUAGUGGGAGGCGGGGCUGCGCUGCAUGUCUGCAUCUACUUCAGCAAGGUCAAGGACGUCGGCAGCGGCGACGACGAGCGCACUGAUGAUGUGGUUGUUACAGAGGCAGAUGUCCGCUCGGGGCAUUGCAGACAAGCGUUGCCUGCUCAGGAAGCAGCGGGUGGGAUUUUGACAAUGUCCAGGGCAUGGAUGAAGCCAAGGAGGAGCUUGUUGAGUGGGAAAGAUGGCCGGGAGGAGCAAAAAACGCAAUUGGCAUGAACAACAUGUGACUGCUCUUGACCAUGAUUCAUUCCCUGCCAUUCAAGACCAACAAAUAGAGGGCAAGUUGCGGGACUCACCUAAAAAAAAUCUCAAGCUAUCCAAGGAAUACCCAAGUAAGGAACCUUCAUCAGCUACUCUCCAAGUAAUCUUCAUACCCUUCCCCCGGAGAUUAGUUGCUUACUAUCUAGCUAGAGAGAAAUCAAUUUGUGUGUGAUUACUGAUUGCACUAAACUUUCUUACAGUUUCUUUUCAGUAAUUGGCAGGAAAUCAGUUGCCCACUACCAGCGUGCACGCAUAAGUUGGUUACUGGCAGAACUGGAGUUGCUUAAAAACAGCCAACCUAGAUGUUGCUGCUUUAAAAAAAAAAUACCACAGUCGUUGUACAAAGUAAACUAAAUUAAGAAGAGAUGCAUGAGUUGCUUACCCCUUUCCCACCCUUUUUUAUUUGCUUAAAAGUGCCCCAAUAGUUGCCACGCUUUUUUUACAUCUUUUUAGUUGUAGCACGCAUAACCAAACAAGAGUUGUUUGCUCUUAACACCUUUUUUGCUCAAAGCAAAGCCUAGAAGUUGCUGGCCUUUUUGUUUUAUUUUGUUUUUUGACACUUUUUUCUACUCCAAAAGCAACCUAAAAACACAAUAGCCAGUAUUUGCAAAAAAUGAAUCAAAAAACAGAUGUCGUGCUCAUGUCCUGCCAAGAGUUGCUUGCUGUCAGACAUGAUUUGCUUACAAAAUCCAUUAUAAUUGCUCACUUUUUGGUUUUGCCCUUUUUUUGGUAACAGGUGCCAUACAAAAACGAUACUAGAUUCUCACAGAUCUGGGAAAAAUGAGGGAGAGCACUGGGACGAAGAAGGUGCAAUCAGAUUUGUAUAAACAAGAUUUGUGGGGGAGGAAAGGAUACGCAGUUUGCAUGGGGAGAAGAUGGGCGUAGGGUAGGGCAGUGGCGGAGCUUAGUGGAGAGCAACCUGGGCCAUUGCCCCCCCAGCCCAUGAGAAAACUAGCAUAUAUCCCCUAGUAUUCAGUCCAUAUGCCCAGUUAAAAUCAGCCUAAACUCAUAUUUCUUGCCCCUCCAGCCCAUUUGCCCCUCCAUAAAAUCAGCCCAAGCUCCGCCACUGGGGUAGGGUGAGGACAGAGAGAGGUUGAUCAAGCACGUGAUUGGGGGGCUGGAGGAAAGCGUGCGAGCUGCGGCUUGAUGCGCCUCUCUAGCGCAGGCUCAAGGGUUGGGGCGUGUGGGGACUGGUUCUUUUCCUUUUCUGUCCCGCCAGCUGUUUAGGGUUUUUCAAUUUCUUUUUUGGGUGUGUGCUCUAGAUUACUAACCAGCCAACAGGUGCUCCCUAGUCACGUCCAAAUUACUAUGGGGUGGGGAUUGGGACAAGCCUGAGCAACGCAACGUUCAGAGUUGCUGCUGAUAUCGUCAGAUAAUAAAAUCGUGACCGCCUGCUCUAACCAAGCUGCGUGCCCUCUCUGCCUCUGCAAGAGGGAGGGAGUACUAACUUUCCGUCUUGGACAGGGUGAAGAAGCAUCCGUCAGUGUCGACCAACUUGAAGUCGCGCGUCCUUGUCGGCUAUUGCUCCGAGCGACAUUUCAGAGCAACUGAAGCUAGCGGCGGUCAGCAUUGCCGUGCUACACGGACUGGACCACAGUACAGUACUUACCAGUCAACCGGUCAAGUCAAUGUGUCUAACCUGUAGCCUACGCUACAGCAAUGUACCCAGCGGUAGAAGACGACAUGAUCUUGACGCAGAGAAGACGAAACAAGAAAAUUUACAUGGUAUAAGAGCAGCUAGAACCACAACUUGGAAAUUCCACCCCUAAUCGUCCGCGGGUCACAACACACUAAAAAUCAUUUUCACAAUCGGAUACCUCAGAGCAACUCCAACGGGCCGAUCCAAACGGACGGCGAUUUCGUCUGCUUUUUGUCCGUUUGGGUCGGCCACGCGGACACG
This is a long non-coding RNA of Triticum dicoccoides, 2555 nucleotides long. RefSeq lists it as uncharacterized. NCBI's taxonomy places the organism in Eukaryota, Viridiplantae, Streptophyta, Magnoliopsida, Poales, Poaceae. The transcript is spliced from 5 exons. The record is from RefSeq and is a predicted model, not a curated record.